This 211-nucleotide unclassified non-coding RNA is filed under the name plant metagenome. RNAcentral describes it as "partial contains small subunit ribosomal RNA, internal transcribed spacer 1, and 5.8S ribosomal RNA". The record is from RNAcentral.
UUUCCGUAGGUGAACCUGCGGAAGGAUCAUUCAUAAUAAAGUGUUUUAUGGCACUUUUUAAAAAUCCAUAUCCACCUUGUGUGCAAUGUUAGAUCUCGUCAAUCUUGGCGAGAUUUUUAUACAUCAACUCAUUCUUUAACUAAUUUGUCUGAAAAAUAUUAUGAAUACUUAAUUCAAAAUACAACUUUCAACAACGGAUCUCUUGGAUCUC